RNAcentral lists this transfer RNA (70 nucleotides) under Epidalea calamita (natterjack toad). RNAcentral describes it as "tRNA-Asp". It matches the Rfam family "tRNA". From Rfam's summary of the family: Transfer RNA (tRNA) molecules are approximately 80 nucleotides in length. Their secondary structure includes four short double-helical elements and three loops (D, anti-codon, and T loops). The record is from RNAcentral. Lineage: Eukaryota; Metazoa; Chordata; Amphibia; Anura; Bufonidae.
GAGGAAUUAGUUAAACUAUAACACUGCCUUGUCAAGACAGAAUUACAAGUUAGACCCCCUGUACUCCUCU